Molecule: long non-coding RNA, 467 nt
Filed under: Theobroma cacao (cacao)
Lineage: Eukaryota; Viridiplantae; Streptophyta; Magnoliopsida; Malvales; Malvaceae
Description: long non-coding RNA (TCAC_LNC003309)
Source: RNAcentral
AUUGGUCCAAAUGGGGCGGUGGGGCUUCGUUGGAACCUAUCAUCACAUUGGCAUCACAAUUAACUCAAUCCAUACAACUAUAAUUUCUAGAAGCUAUUUCUUAAAUCUAGCCCCACUAGUUAUUACUAACUAGCUUCCAAUUAUCAUUUGACUAGCUAUUUAUUUUCUCUACUCUAGCAACACUAGAAAUAAAUAAACAACCUUAAUAAUAAAACAACUCACAAUUUCAAUUGUUAGCCAUUAUCAACAACUAAAGAAAUUUAACCUUAACUUAUACUCACCUUGGUAACUUGAAAUUGAAAUUUUUUCCAAUAAUUUUCAAGCUAUUGUAGAAGAUCCAUCUUUCUCUCUCUAAAACCCUAGCUAGUGAGAGAAAGUAUUAGUUUAAGACUUUUUAGGGUUUUUUUUUUUUGGUGAGAGGGUGAAAGAGCACAAAGGUUCUAUGAAAGGGUGCACAAAAGCAUGAA